CCCUUAGAUGUUCUGGGCUGCACGCGUGCUACAAUGGCGCUUGCAACAAGUCUUGCCAACCCGAUAGGAUGAGCGGAUCUUUGAAGAGGCGUCGUGAUCGGGACAGUUGAUUGCAAUUAUUCGACUCGAACGAGGAAUUCCUUGUAAUCGCGAUUCAUCAUAUCGCGCUGAAUACGUCCCUGCCCUUUGUACACACCGCCCGUCGCUCCUACCGAUUGAGCGAUCCGGUGAAUGUUUUGGACUGGCGUCAGAAGCGGUUCGCUCCUGACACUACGAAAUUUUGUAAACCUUAUCGCUUAGAGGAAGGAAAAGUCGUAACA
RNAcentral lists this ribosomal RNA (320 nucleotides) under uncultured eukaryote. RNAcentral's name for it is "partial 18S ribosomal RNA". It matches the Rfam family "Eukaryotic small subunit ribosomal RNA", at positions 1470 to 1796 of the family's 1831-position model. The record is from RNAcentral.